AUCUUGCUGUAGAUCUCUGCGUUUCUGUGGCUUUCUGAAGUUUCUCAGAUGCCCUGAAGUGGUUCUGUAGGCUACUGUAUAUGAAUAUGAGAGAGAACAGGGGGCUUCCAGUAAUGCAUGGCAGGCUGCAGUAUCAGCAGAUGUCAUUGUUUGGCAACUGUUUUCACUCUAGAAUGCCAGAAGAUAUGGAAUGCUUGCUCCAUAUGAAGAAGAGGACCAUGAUCUGAAUAUUUUGAGAAGAAUUUUGUUUUGUCCUGCUGCUUUUAAUGUAAGUUUUAAUACCAAGAUCUUUUUUACUAUUAUUAAAGGGAAAAGAUCAACUGUCACUAUGGAAAAAUGAGUUAAUCCUGAAAUAGCAAAGUAGUUCAGACAGUUAAUAUACAAGCCUCAAAACUCCUAGCUAGUUGUAAUGCAGGGUUGGAGAAAAUGAAGUUUUUUCUUGGCAAAAACGUGUAAAAUAUUUUCCAAGUGACUUCAGCUCUGACUGUGAUCAUUUUCAGUUUGCUUAGUUUCCCAUUAGCUGCCCAGUAAUGUCUAUCCAAUAGAAUGUUGAGUGUUCUCAAAGUAUACCUGUUAUUGUUUCAUUUUAAAAUGUAGAGAAGAGGUGAAAAGAUGUUGCUCUUCCCACUUUAGCUAUCUCCUAGGGUAAUUGCCUUUUAAUUUUUAAAUAAUUAUCUUUUCUGUUUCUUCCUUUACUUGAGUUCCCUUCUGGUCAGUGUCUUAAAUCUUUAUUUAAUUUUUUUAUUCUCAAUUAUUUUUAAAUGACAUAACUGUAUCCAGAGGUGCAAUCACUGUGGGUAUCUGUUAGGUGGGGAAAAAACCCAACAGACUGAACUAUUGUUUUUUCAAACAAAUUUUAUUUUUAUUACUUAAAAACAAAACAAUACAAAAAGUCCAAACCCCAUACAAACUAAAUUUGAGUGUUCAAUGAAGUUACAAUUUGCUUCGUGUUCAUUGCAGGAAAAUCUGCUAUGGUUAUCUCUCAUCCAACAUAUUUGAAGCUUGACUAGCAAAACUGCUGUCUUAAUACUCUGCUAUUGCCAUGGUCUGUAGUAAAUAGUGUUGCUUAAAGGGUUGUGGAUUUGCCAGGUUCACAUAUAUAUAUAUAUAUAUAUAUAUUCUUCUUUACCUUCAUGUCUGUAUCAAGAUCCACUUGUUUUAUUUCGUAGCUGCAAAAAUUGUUGGUAUUUAGGUGUUGUUUUACUUGUUGAGAUUGCUCAAGAAUGGAACGUUUUUCUGAUUUUUUUCUUCAGAUGAAAUCAAAUCAUAAAUGUCUUCAAAUAUGUUGAGAAAAUUAAAUGUGAAAACGUUCUUAUUCUUCCAAAUUUUAUUUUGAAAGACAAUACCCUUUUCCAGCGCUGACCUCUGGUGUCUGCACAGAAGCUUGAAUUUCUACAGAUCAGAAUGAUUUAAUAGCUUUUUAAAAAAUAAUAAUGCAGCAAGGCAGAAGAGAAGUUGUACUGACUUUUCUUGCUGUCUUUGUAGACCUAGGAUUCUCAAUUUCCAUGGAUGUUUUGUUUUUCUUUAAAGUAGUUGUGUAAUUUAUUUAAAGCAUGAGCACCAGGUAUUUCUGUAUAUGUCCAAAAGAGACUAGCUACUGAUCUGAGUGAAUGAAAAUUCAUUCCCUUUGACUAUCAGAACCACCUUUACUGUUACGGUUGUAGAAGACAGUAAUUAAAAUAUAUUUAAUAUAAGCCACCCUCAUUUUGAAGCUGCCUCAGUUUGCAGCCCUGAGGGAAGCCAAGUAAUUAAGUUUGGAGGCAGUACUGAAGCAAAGACAAAUAAUGAUUUGGACAGGACUAGCAUAAAGGAAGGCUUCCAUUAGAUUCUAGAAUGCUGUUUUUGACCCUUAGUGGAUAUACUGUUCCAAGUGCUUUUAAUUUCAUUAAAUUUUAAUAUUGGAUAUUUUAAAUAGAAACAAUAUUAAACUGUGGUUAUUCUCCAGAAUGUCCAUUCUGUGCUACAAAAGUAAUGCCUUCCAACUCAAGAGCCUGAUUGGAAUUGGCAAUCAAAGUCUCUCCAAUAGCAACCUCCACCACCAUGCAUACACACCAAAACUUCUUGAAAGAGCAACAAUAAAGUCACUUUCGAUGGAAUUACAAACAGCAAUUGGCAUGAUCUGUGGAUGGAGUAGGUUGCUAGACAGAAGGAAUGUGAGCUGAGAAAGGUGAAGCUGACCUUGGAAAUUAAUGCUUCUGUGGACUAGGUAAAAUGAGCAGUUAUGUGAUUAAGUCCACAGGAAAUGGUAUUUAAGUACCCAUCUUUGAAGCUAAAAUUUGGGAUCUUGAUACUUGCAGGGACGGUAAGUACAUGAAGUGUCUGAAAAAUUCCUUUUUCCAAGAACUUGUGGCUAUGUUUGUCUCUUCACAAACCACUGAGAGUUUGAAUGAAGGAUUCCAGAAUGACUGUCUCUUUUCUGUUGAGUUCUGCAACUUAGGUCCAUUGUUUCCUAUAUGAUGCAAUAUCUGCUAGCUGUGUGUGUGUACAUAUAAUAUGUAUUUGUAGGCAUACAUUUAUUUCACUGACUGACAUAAAUUAAACUGAAGCUGCACUAGGAAUUUUAUGUUCUGUGAUAACACCAGCGGAGGUGUGUGAUUAUAUUUUUUUCCAAGACCAACAGUGUUGGUUACACUAAACAUCAGGAUGCCUGCAUUGUAGCAAUAUUUUCACCACUAUUUUGUUCAAGCUUCAAUUUGCAAUAUUCUGUUAGAAGAUGAGUUCUUUCAUACCACUGAAGUAAAACCAGUUAACGCGUUUGAUGUGAAGAGUCUAAGAGGAUCCUUAUCUUGUUGAAGAAAAACUUGUGCCAGGUCUUUUUUGCCAAAAAGAACAGAAAUAAACCCUGUGUUCCUGGGCAACAAGUCUUCUCAAUGAAAGAAUUUCUAUUGCUUAUGAAUUUAUGUGAGCUUUUGCUGAAAACAUUGUCUGCUGCAUUUUCCUGUACUCACUGUGCUGUCAGUAAGCUGCUGUGUUAUAAAGUGCUUUGGGACAUUCUGUCCAUAAAGAGGUACAAUACAGAACUAAAUUCUGUUUUAUUUGAUUCCCUGAAAUGGUGCAAUUCAUUUUUAGUAAAUACUGUUGCCAAAG
RNAcentral lists this long non-coding RNA (3087 nucleotides) under Gallus gallus (chicken). RNAcentral's name for it is "lncRNA (ENSGALG00010025651.1)". Lineage: Eukaryota; Metazoa; Chordata; Aves; Galliformes; Phasianidae. The record is from RNAcentral.